This 245-nucleotide ribosomal RNA is filed under the name uncultured bacterium. RNAcentral describes it as "partial small subunit ribosomal RNA". It matches the Rfam family "Bacterial small subunit ribosomal RNA", at positions 26 to 285 of the family's 1533-position model. The record is from RNAcentral.
AGAAUCAACGCUGGCGGCGUGCCUAACACAUGCAAGUCGAACGAGAAAGUGGAGCAAUCCAUGAGUAAAGUGGCGCACGGGUGAGUAACACGUGACUAACCUACCCUUGAGUGGGGGAUAAACCUAGGGAAACCUGGGCUAAUACCGCAUAAUACCUUCGGGUCAAAGGAGCAAUUCGCUUAAGGAGGGGUCGCGGCCGAUUAGUUAGUUGGCGGGGUAAUGGCCCACCAAGACGAUGAUCGGUA